CUUUUUUUGUUGUUUUGU
RNAcentral lists this small RNA (18 nucleotides) under Arabidopsis thaliana (thale cress). RNAcentral describes it as "ATSL299910". The record is from RNAcentral. Lineage: Eukaryota; Viridiplantae; Streptophyta; Magnoliopsida; Brassicales; Brassicaceae.